ACUCCGCACCACAUACCUGGACCGGACUCUCGGGACUGUGGAGCAGGAGGGGCGGCUGCCAUGGCGCUCGCAUCGGGCUCGGGCGGCGGCGGCGGGAGCGACUUCUCCGUGAUGGUGAUAGGCUCCGACUUCGCGGUGGACGCCGGCGCGGCGCUCCUCGCCUCCCCCGCCGACCGCGAGGAGUGGCACGACUGCGCCCCCGACCUCGGCGACGACUUCUCCGACCUCGAGGAGCUCCAGGUGGUCCGCGUGCAGGGCGCGGACAGAUCCGGCCGGCCCGUCGUCCGGGUCGUCGGCAAGUUCUUCCCCGGUGCGCCAAACCCCUCCCGUUACUUCCCGUCCUCUCCUCAUCCUGGGAUUUAUCGGGUGGUAUUUGGGGAUUGCUGGUGCGCGUCUAGGGUUUGGCGCGAGUCGUUCGAUGAAUUCUUUGCUGUUAGCUCGUAGCUGCAUUCCUGGAGUUGGUAUGGAGUGAUAAAUGCAUGAUAUACUUAGGAUUUCAGCAUAUUUAUGUCUCGAGCAAAUUAGCAAUUCUAUUGUGACCGGUUGUCAAAAAUUGAAAAUUCUGGAUUUUGGAGAGGCACGGUUCAUGAUUGUUCAUUUCGAUAGUUAUCUGCUUUGUAUGUGGCUUCUUUGCUAGUGGUACCAUCCCCUGUUGAUCUAGUUUCUGGUUUGAUAACAGAUUCAGUACUGCAAAUUAGUACCCCCUUUUGUAAACUAGUAAUAAAAAGUAGUGAUCUAAUAAAAGAUGUUAUAUUACUCCCUUGGUUCCUAAAUAUAAGUCUUUUUAGAGAUUCCAAUGCGGACUACAUACAAAGCAAAAUGAGUGAAUUUACACUCUAAAGUAUGUCUAUAUACAUCCGUAUGUACUUCAUAUUGAACUCUCUAAAAAGACUUGUACUUAUUUAGGAACAGAGGGAGUACUAUUAUUUCUCAAAAUCUGUUGGCAGACUCGAUCAUACCAUUUUAUAAGGGAACUUACAUGCCAAUUUAUAUGUAGUUUCUUUGCUAGUAGUGGAUGGUUCCUUUCCAUGUCAUAUUGGCUUAACAUCCUGUUGGAUAACCUUGCAUUAUUUCUCAAAAUCACCUCACAGACACGAUCACCAUUUGACACAAGGGAGGUUCACAACUUCUACAGGCACUUGAUGUUCUGAUGCUACAAGCUUUGCCGCUAAUAUGAUACUCUCUCCGUUCCAAAAUAAGCGUCGUGGUUUUAGUUCAAAUUUGAACUAAAAUCAUGACCCUUAUUUUUGAACGGAGGGAGUAUUAGUUUCUACCGCUCCCUGUAACACUCAGAUGGCAUUUUAUUUUUGUAUUCCAGCUCCUGUUAUAGAUGGUGGACGUCUGAAGAGGUAUGUGUUUCACAAGCUCCGCACCGAGUUGCCAGAGGGUCCGUUCUGCAUCUUGUACGUACACACCACUGUACAAUCUGAUGAUAACAAUCCUGGAAUGACAAUCUUGAGGGGGAUUUAUGAAGAACUUCCAGCUGAAUACAAGGAAAGGCUGCAAAUAUUCUACUUCCUGCAUCCUGGGCUUUAUUCCUGGCUCGCCAUGGCCACACUAGGCAGGCUCUUCUUAAGCGGAGGGUUGUAUUGGAAAAUCAAGUAUGUUAGUCGGCUGGAGUAUCUAUGGGGGGACAUCAAAAAGGGUGAAGUUGAGAUUCCAGAUUUUGUUACUGAACAUGACAAGAUCCUUGAGCACCGACCAUUGACAGACUAUGGUAUAGAACCUGAUCCUCUGCAUCUCGCUGAUAUACCUGCUGCGGGGUACUCACUUGGUAGGUAUGAAGACAAAUGGUCUCCUGAAGAUCGCUGGAAUUCUCGCAAUUACAUGUGACAUUGUGGUGCUGUUGAAGGCUUGUAAGUUCUCUGUGUACAUAUGUCAUAGCAAAUGGCGAUGCAUACCGGAUUGUUGUGGAAACUUUGUUCAUAAUAAGGUAGUGUCUCAAAUUGUGGGCGUGUAUGACAUAUUUGUAGAGACAAUACCAAAUGGAUGACAGAUUGG
RNAcentral lists this ribosomal RNA (2001 nucleotides) under Triticum aestivum (bread wheat). Its description in RNAcentral is "partial small subunit ribosomal RNA". Lineage: Eukaryota; Viridiplantae; Streptophyta; Magnoliopsida; Poales; Poaceae. The record is from RNAcentral.